GAUGAACGCUGGCGGCGUGCCUAAUACAUGCCAGUCGAGCGAACAGACGAGGAGCUUACUCCUCUGACGUUAGCGGCGGACGGGUGAGUAACACGUGGAUAACCUACCUAUAAGACUGGGAUAACUUCGGGAAACCGGAGCUAAUACCGGAUAAUAUAUUGAACCGCAUGGUUCAAUAGUGAAAGACGGUUUUGCUGUCACUUAUAGAUGGAUCCGCGCCGCAUUAGCUAGUUGGUAAGGUAACGGCUUACCAAGGCAACGAUGCGUAGCCGACCUGAGAGGGUGAUCGGCCACACUGGAACUGAGACACGGUCCAGACUCCUACGGGAGGCAGCAGUAGGGAAUCUUCCGCAAUGGGCGAAAGCCUGACGGAGCAACGCCGCGUGAGUGAUGAAGGUCUUCGGAUCGUAAAACUCUGUUAUUAGGGAAGAACAAAUGUGUAAGUAACUAUGCACGUCUUGACGGUACCUAAUCAGAAAGCCACGGCUAACUACGUG
RNAcentral lists this ribosomal RNA (497 nucleotides) under uncultured bacterium. Its description in RNAcentral is "partial 16S ribosomal RNA". It matches the Rfam family "Bacterial small subunit ribosomal RNA", at positions 28 to 507 of the family's 1533-position model. The record is from RNAcentral.